Myotis brandtii (Brandt's bat) is the source of this 73-nucleotide non-coding RNA. The record is from Rfam. Lineage: Eukaryota; Metazoa; Chordata; Mammalia; Chiroptera; Vespertilionidae.
GGCAGUUCUCAGGUGAUGCAUCCCCGGAAUCAGGCUCCCAACUCUCUGGUUCCAGGGUGCCUCAUCUGCUGCU